CCUCUCUCUCGCUUGGCUUGCUCUCUCUCUCCCUGCUCCUCCAGGCUAUGUGCCGGCCUGUGACACUACAGACCCUGGUUCGAUCCUAGGCUGUAUCACAACCGGGCGUGAUCGGGAGUACCAUCGGGCGGUGCACAAUUGCCCCAGCGUCGUCCGUGUUAGGAGAGGGUUUGACCGGGGUUCACCAGCUGACCUAUAUCAAGACACCCAUGUUGACUGGAUUCCCCCUGUGAAGAUGGGUAAUGCUGCAGCAGCAUCAGUUUCUACUACUUCUUCAUCUUUUUCCAGACAUGAAAGAAGACAUCCCUCAGUUAUAUGACAUGGUUGUCAUAUGCUGUGCUUUGGACAAUUAUUCUGUUGUCAAUUGAGUAGAGCACCUUGUCAUGACAAAAGUGCCCCCUUACACUGUAUGAAUAUAAUGUAAUUUGGAACGUUUAAAAGACUUGUUGAUAUUGUAAACAUACUGUACUUCAAGCUAUAUUGUUGUCUAAGUGAAAAGACAAGUAUUCUGUCAUCUUUGCUUUGCCUAGCCCCAUUGAAUAAAAAGUAUUUCUUAUGGCCCAACUAUUGCAAUGUUCCUUGCUUUUCAGAAACGUGGCUCUCAGACAAUAUGCCCCCCACGGCUAUCUAACUCGAUGGAUUCUUCAUUCACCGGGCAGACAGGAUAGUGGAGUCGGGGUGAGGCUGCCUUUCUGGUUGCGGUGAUUAUAAUUCGGCGUCACUAAAUCAAAAAGAUAUAUAAAUCACAUGCGCCGAAUACAACAGGUAUAGAUAGACCUUACAGUGAAAUGCUUACUUACAAGCCCUUAACCAACAAUGCAGUUAAGAAAAAUAAGUGUUAAAGUAUUUACUGAAAUAAACUGAAGAAAGUAAUGAAGGGAAAAAAAGGUGCAAAAAUAAAAUAACAGUAGCGAGGCUAAAUACAGGGGGUACAGGUUAUUCGAGGGAUUGAGGUCAUAUGUACAUGUAGGUAGAGGUACAGUGACUAUGUAUGGAUAAUAAACAGAGUAGUAGAAAAAGUUUGGCAUGAG
RNAcentral lists this long non-coding RNA (1031 nucleotides) under Salmo salar (Atlantic salmon). RNAcentral's name for it is "lncRNA (ENSSSAG00000098879.1, ENSSSAG00000108683.1, ENSSSAG00020082262.1, ENSSSAG00075060561.1)". The record is from RNAcentral. Lineage: Eukaryota; Metazoa; Chordata; Actinopteri; Salmoniformes; Salmonidae.